Alligator sinensis (Chinese alligator) is the source of this 335-nucleotide long non-coding RNA. RefSeq lists it as uncharacterized. The transcript has 3 exons. The record is from RefSeq and is a predicted model, not a curated record. NCBI's taxonomy places the organism in Eukaryota, Metazoa, Chordata, Crocodylia, Alligatoridae.
CUGCCAGCAGCCAGAGAGGCAGGAGCUAGGAGGGUUCUAAGAGAGAGAGACAACUUUGUUUUAACUUAAGGAAGGGAUGUGUGCUUCUAUGGACAGCAAGAACAGUAGUUACCACAGGAAACAUGUUUUCAUCCUUAAAGGACUUAUGUACAGGUUGUCAAGAUGCAGUCACUCUGAAGCUGAACAGGAGAAGGAGGAAUACCAUGCAGCAUAACUCAUUUAAUUUUGAAAGAUGAAAAAAAUAUUCUUUUUAUGAAGAAAAUUGCCAACCCUGUUUGAAUCCAGCCUCUCACAGGACAACAAAAUCUUCAGUUACUUACCUCAUUUUAUAUGAU